RNAcentral lists this transfer RNA (76 nucleotides) under compost metagenome. Its description in RNAcentral is "tRNA-His". It matches the Rfam family "tRNA". Rfam says of the family: Transfer RNA (tRNA) molecules are approximately 80 nucleotides in length. The record is from RNAcentral.
GAGAUUGUGGUGAAGUGGUUAACACGCUGGCUUGUGGCGCCAGUAUGCGCGGGUUCGAACCCCGUCAGUCUCCCCA